CCUACGGGUGGCAGCAGUGAGGAAUAUUGGUCAAUGGGCGGAAGCCUGAACCAGCAACGCCGCGUGGAGGAUGAAGGUUUUCGGAUUGUAAACUCCUUUUGUUGGGGAGCAAGGCCCGCCACGUGUGGCGGGAAGGAGAGUACCCGAAGAAAAAGCAUCGGCUAACUCCGUUCCAGCAGCCGCGGUAAUACGGAGGAUGCGAGCGUUAUCCGGAUUUAUUGGGUUUAAGGGGUGCGUAGGCGGAAGGUUAAGUCAGCGGUAAAAUGUCGGUGCUCAACACCGGCCUGCCGUUGAAACUGGUCUUCUUGAGUGAGCGAGAAGUAUGCGGAAUGCGUGGUGUAGCGGUGAAAUGCAUAGAUAUCACGCAGAACUCCGAUUGCGAAGGCAGCAUACCGGCGCUCAACUGACGCUGAGGCACGAAAGCGUGGGGAUCGAACAGGAUUAGAUACCCUGGUAGUC
Molecule: ribosomal RNA, 459 nt
Filed under: uncultured bacterium
Lineage: Bacteria
Description: partial 16S ribosomal RNA
Rfam family: Bacterial small subunit ribosomal RNA
Source: RNAcentral